GGAGAGGUGGGUGAGUGGCUGAAACCGCAUCCCUGCUAAGGAUGUGUACCGCAAGGUACCGAGGGUUCGAAUCCCUCCCUCUUCGCCA
RNAcentral lists this transfer RNA (88 nucleotides) under Deinococcus radiopugnans. RNAcentral describes it as "tRNA-Ser (GCT) (tRNA-Ser-GCT-1-1)". It matches the Rfam family "tRNA". From Rfam's summary of the family: Transfer RNA (tRNA) molecules are approximately 80 nucleotides in length. Their secondary structure includes four short double-helical elements and three loops (D, anti-codon, and T loops). The record is from RNAcentral. Lineage: Bacteria; Thermotogati; Deinococcota; Deinococci; Deinococcales; Deinococcaceae. RNAcentral also lists the same sequence under 2 other names.